This 500-nucleotide ribosomal RNA is filed under the name uncultured bacterium. RNAcentral describes it as "bacterial SSU rRNA". It matches the Rfam family "Bacterial small subunit ribosomal RNA", at positions 30 to 504 of the family's 1533-position model. The record is from RNAcentral.
CGAACGCUGGCGGCGUGCCUAAUACAUGCAAGUCGAACGGGAAAUCCGGUCUUCGGACUGGAGAGUAUAGUGGCGAACGGGUGAGUAACGCGUGGAUAAUUUAACCUCGAGUGGGGAAUAACAUCUCGAAAGGGGUGCUAAUACCGCAUAAUGUUUAUUUGUCGCAUGGCAGAUAGACUAAAGGUGGCCUCUCGAUGAAGCUAUCGCUUGAGGAGGAGUCCGCGUUCCAUUAGCUUGUUGGUGAGGUAAAAGCUCACCAAGGCUUCGAUGGAUAGCCGGCCUGAGAGGGUGACCGGCCACACUGGGACUGAGACACGGCCCAGACUCCUACGGGAGGCAGCAGUAGGGAAUUUUGCACAAUGCCCGAAAGGGUGAUGCAGCGACGCCGCGUGGGUGAUGAAGGUUUUCGGAUCGUAAAACCCUGUCGAGAGGGAAGAAACCUCUGGGACUAAUACUCCUGGAGUCUGACAGUACCUCUGGAGGAAGCCCCGGCUAACUAC